RNAcentral lists this ribosomal RNA (423 nucleotides) under uncultured bacterium. RNAcentral's name for it is "bacterial SSU rRNA". It matches the Rfam family "Bacterial small subunit ribosomal RNA", at positions 358 to 773 of the family's 1533-position model. The record is from RNAcentral.
GGAAUAUUGGACAAUGGGGGAAACCCUGAUCCAGCAAUGCCGCGUGUGUGAAGAAGGCCCGAGGGUUGUAAAGCACUUUCAGUGAGGAAGAAUCCCUCGAGUUUAAUAGACUCGAGGAAGGACAUUACUCAAAGAAGAAGCACCGGCUAACUCUGUGCCAGCAGCCGCGGUAAUACAGAGGGUGCAAGCGUUAAUCGGAAUUACUGGGCGUAAAGAGUACGUAGGUGGUUUAUUGAGUCGGAUGUGAAAUCCCCGGGCUUGACCUGGGUAGGUCAUUCGAUACCAAUAGACUAGAGUACAGUAGAGGGUAGUGGAAUUUCCGGUGUAGCGGUGAAAUGCGUAGAGAUCGGAAGGAACAUCAGUGGCGAAGGCGGCUACCUGGACUGAUACUGACACUGAGGUACGAAAGCGUGGGGAGCAAAC